GACGAACGCUGGCGGCGUGCUUAACACAUGCAAGUCGAACGGAAAGGCCCUGCUUGCAGGGUACUCGAGUGGCGAACGGGUGAGUAACACGUGGGUGAUCUGCCCUGCACUUCGGGAUAAGCCUGGGAAACUGGGUCUAAUACCGGAUAGGAGCUAUUUUUAGUGUGAUGGUUGGAAAGUUUUUUCGGUGUAGGAUGAGCUCGCGGCCUAUCAGCUUGUUGGUGGGGUAAUGGCCUACCAAGGCGGCGACGGGUAGCCGGCCUGAGAGGGUGGACGGCCACAUUGGGACUGAGAUACGGCCCAGACUCCUACGGGAGGCAGCAGUGGGGAAUAUUGCACAAUGGGCGCAAGCCUGAUGCAGCGACGCCGCGUGGGGGAUGACGGCCUUCGGGUUGUAAACUCCUUUCGCUAGGGACGAAGCUUUUUGUGACGGUACCUAGAGAAGAAGCACCGGCUAACUACGUG
This 465-nucleotide ribosomal RNA is filed under the name uncultured bacterium. RNAcentral describes it as "partial 16S ribosomal RNA". It matches the Rfam family "Bacterial small subunit ribosomal RNA", at positions 28 to 507 of the family's 1533-position model. The record is from RNAcentral.